This 439-nucleotide ribosomal RNA is filed under the name uncultured bacterium. RNAcentral's name for it is "partial 16S ribosomal RNA". It matches the Rfam family "Bacterial small subunit ribosomal RNA", at positions 339 to 795 of the family's 1533-position model. The record is from RNAcentral.
CUACGGGUGGCAGCAGUGAGGAAUAUUGCACAAUGGGGGGAACCCUGAUGCAGCAACGCCGCGUGGAGGAUGACGCAUUUCGGUGUGUAAACUCCUUUUAUAUGUCAAGAAAAUGACGGUAGCAUAUGAAUAAGCACCGGCUAACUCCGUGCCAGCAGCCGCGGUAAUACGGAGGGUGCAAGCGUUACUCGGAAUCACUGGGCGUAAAGGACGCGUAGGCGGGUUGGAAAGUCAGGUGUGAAAUCCUACAGCUUAACUGUAGAACUGCACUUGAAACUUCUAAUCUAGAGGAUGGGAGGGGGAGAUGGAAUUAGUGGUGUAGGGGUAAAAUCCGUAUAUAUCACUAGGAAUACCUAAAGCGAAGGCGAUCUCCUGGAACAUUACUGACGCUAAGGCGUGAAAGCGUGGGGAGCAAACAGGAUUAGAUACCCCCGUAGUC